Molecule: unclassified non-coding RNA, 426 nt
Filed under: Hevea brasiliensis (rubber tree)
Lineage: Eukaryota; Viridiplantae; Streptophyta; Magnoliopsida; Malpighiales; Euphorbiaceae
Source: RNAcentral
CUCAUGUGAAUCAUGGAGAUAGUGAUAUCAAUUCAACUUCGCGGACAACCAGGCCAAUGCACGAGAUUACUUUUUCAACUAUUGACAAGCCAAAAACGCUCACUCAGUUGACCAAUAUAAUAUCUGAGAUUGGUCUGAACAUUGAAGAGGCCCAUGUUUUUUCAACUACUGAUGGUUUCUCCUUGGAUGUCUUUGUGGUUGAUGGAUGGCCGUAUGAGGAGACGGAGUUGCUUAAGAGUGAGGUGCAAAAGGAAGUUAUGAGGAGCAAGGAGCAGCCACAAGUCCUGCCUCCAAUCAGUGAACCAGGUCAAACAUCUGAAUCAGGCUCCGAUAGUGUAAAAAUACCUACUGAUGGAUCUGAUGACUGGGAAAUUGAUAUCCGCCUGCUGAAAUUUGAAAAUAAAGUAGCAUCUGGGUCAUUUGGAG